ACCCGUCGUCAUCAUCUCCAUCUUCUCUCAAAACACUCUCAACCUAACCCUAGUUCUAACACGCCGUCACUGGCAUAUAUCUUCUCCUUAUGAAGCUUCCAUGGCUUCUCCGUCCAGUCUUGGCCUUCUGCACGCCAUGGCUCCUUGAUUUUUUUGGAUCCUUGAGAAGAUCUCGAAGAACCUAGUUGGUUCUGGUUUGAAACUUUACUCGUUAACCUGUCUCAGGCCAUUGUUCGACUGUGAGUGAGAACUUCUUUUUAUUUUGUUACGAAUCUAUGGGUUCUCGACCUAUUCUCUCAUCUCUGCUAUUUUUCUGAAAACCCUAGUUCACUGUUGUCGACUCUUCUCACAUCUUCAUAGAUCUGAGAUGAUUUGGGUAAUAUCAAGUGUUUUCCUCCAAAAACCCCUUACUUGAAUUGAUUAUCUCCCUUUUUAAUCAUUCUUCUUAAACUAGGGUUUAUCCCAAACUGUUUUUCCAAGACUUUUCUAAGUUAUUAAUGUUUAAUAAGAUGUUUCUUCUUCACCUCGAUUGAUUUUUUGCAUGAGCGUUCAAACCCUAGUUGAUUUUAUAUGCUGAUUUUCCAGUCUUUGCUUCGAUUUUUGGGUCUUUUCAUGUUACCAAUUGUAUUAAUUUACUCCAUCUUUUGGACUUAAACGUUUUUACUUGUUAAAUCAGUAUGUUUGUGUUUUUGCCCUAAUUAAUAUCUAUUAGGUUUUUCAUCCGUCUCCGGUUAAUUUCUGUACCUUUGUGAAGUUUUACUUAGCCUAUUUUCUAUUUGUGGAAGUUGAUACUACUUUGAAAUUCUGGAUGAUUGAUUUGCUUUUGACUGUUUCCUUGUUUAUGACCACAAUUUUUUCAUUCAUGCCUUAUUUAAUUGUCUGUACAAUUGCAGAUCUUUGCUGAUUCUUACAUAGUACGAUUAGGGUCCUUUCUUUAAUUAAGCCCCUGUAUUACCAUUUGAUCAAGGAAUCUAUUCUAAACUUCCUUUGUUUGGUUCGAACUCCUUGCCUUAUUUAAUCCCUAUUAUUAUUGUUUGUCUAAUUGCCCUUAAUUAAGGGAGGUCUAUGCUGAACUCCUUUGUAUGAUUGAAUUUUGUGACCCCUUAAUUGCUGAUUCCUGAUUCCUUUACCUUAUCUGCUCUACUCUUGAACUGCUAUAUAAGCACUCUUGUUUUACCUCUCAAGGGGACGAACAGUAAUGUCAUGACCCC
Molecule: long non-coding RNA, 1211 nt
Filed under: Nicotiana tabacum (common tobacco)
Lineage: Eukaryota; Viridiplantae; Streptophyta; Magnoliopsida; Solanales; Solanaceae
Description: long non-coding RNA (NTAB_LNC011942)
Source: RNAcentral